Molecule: long non-coding RNA, 1569 nt
Organism: Astatotilapia calliptera (eastern happy)
Lineage: Eukaryota; Metazoa; Chordata; Actinopteri; Cichliformes; Cichlidae
Source: Ensembl
CACUUUUAUACGGAAAUUUUACAGUUCAGUCUGAUAUGAUUCACUACACUACACUUCUAGGUGCUGCUUGACUGUGGAAACCCAUGACACUUUGACACGCUUGAGUUCAAGCCAAAGGUUCUGUUAAUACAUGCUCAAUCAUCCAGGUGAGUAAAUCACAAAAGGUUGAUUCUGUUCAUCUGGAUGUAGCGUUUUUAGCGGGAGGAACGUUUCGCAGGAGGAACGUUUCGUCACUCAUCCAGGUGACUUCUUCAGUCUCAGCUGACUGCAGGUUUGCUCAACCUUAUAAACUGUACAUUUGCACAAUGGCUGAUGUAUCCUGCGUCCUCGUUUUCCCCAGAUUUAAUGUCUGAUGUUUUGCUAAAGUUUAAUAUUUUCUUAAAGGCCAGUGUUUUGUUUUUUUUUUUACCGACGCAUUCAGCAUUUGUAGCAGUUAAGGUGGCCACUAGAGGGCUUUGUCACUUUAACACGAGCACCUUUUGUCUUGACUUGACGGACAUGGCCUGGCCUUUAGAGAACCCUGGUUUCACACUCUUCCAGUGCUCAUGAACUCAGUGAACUCAGAAGUCGAAGCCCGGCCAUUCAGCAUCAUUAUUUGAUGUGAAAAGCCCACACGCAGCAGGUAAAACACAUAGCUAUAUUUUCUUUUACACUCCUCUAGCUCCAAUUCUGCCUAUAAGGACUCAAUUAUCCUCCGCACAUGGCUGGGUGCCCCCACCGGCACUGCCACUCCGUAUGUCCCGUUUCAGAGGCCACGAGAGCUAAAAGAGGCUCUCAGUACCACGCGAAGCAGGCAGAUUUUCCACUGGUUUAAUGAGAAUCACAGAGAGGAAAUGUGCAGGGUAUUUAUAGAAAAACGAGAGGAAUGCAAGCCCCCCUAAUUGUGCUUAGUCUGCUGCAGAACCUGUUCACCAUGAUUUCCUACAUGUGGAGGGAAAAAAAGACAGGGAAUAGGGGACAGGAAAGAGAAAGUGCUCUUUAAAGAAGCAGACCGGACAUGAAUUUCUGUAAUACUUGGAUAAUUCUUAAUUUAGAAUAAGUGUAAGUGGUGUUUGACAAAAUCAAAUUUUGAAAUUAAUGGUAACAUUUUUUUCGUUUUUGUAAUUUCUUUUUUAUAAACGUCAUUUUUUAUUUUUGAAUAUCAUUUUUAGCCACACAGUAGCACGAGUAUUGGGAUGAACCUGCUUAUAAUCUGCCUUUCACCAUGAAGGUUUAUAUUUAAAAAGAUUUGAUAAAGAUCCAUCGCUCGAUGAAUUUCAACAAGUUUAGAAGUUUUCCAGCAACAUUUUAUACCACGUUUGGCUUUGGCAAUCCGCAGAAGAAACUGGAACGUGUUGAUUGGGAAAAAUACAUCUGGACUGCCCUGUUUAGCCAGCUGACACUAUGACCCAACUUUGGAGAAGUGGAAGAUGAUGGAUGGAUUGAUUUGAGAUCAUUGGUUCCUCUCAAAUAUUGAGAGUCUUCACUUUAGAACAGAUGUUCCUAGAAAUAAAAGGUCUUUGAAGCCACUUUGCAACCCCAGCGCUUCCGUUCUUGCUGUUUCUGUGCUGAUAAAUGUCAUAUCUGUAG